Molecule: ribosomal RNA, 1021 nt
Filed under: uncultured bacterium
Lineage: Bacteria
Description: bacterial SSU rRNA
Rfam family: Bacterial small subunit ribosomal RNA
Source: RNAcentral
GAACGGUAGCACAGAGAGCUUGCUCUUGGGUGACGAGUGGCGGACGGGUGAGUAAUGUCUGGGAAACUGCCCGAUGGAGGGGGAUAACUACUGGAAACGGUAGCUAAUACCGCAUAACGUCUUCGGACCAAAGUGGGGGACCUUCGGGCCUCACACCAUCGGAUGUGCCCAGAUGGGAUUAGCUAGUAGGUGGGGUAACGGCUCACCUAGGCGACGAUCCCUAGCUGGUCUGAGAGGAUGACCAGCCACACUGGAACUGAGACACGGUCCAGACUCCUACGGGAGGCAGCAGUGGGGAAUAUUGCACAAUGGGCGCAAGCCUGAUGCAGCCAUGCCGCGUGUAUGAAGAAGGCCUUCGGGUUGUAAAGUACUUUCAGUGGGGAGGAAGGCGAUGGAGUUAAUAGCUUCGUCGAUUGACGUUACCCGCAGAAGAAGCACCGGCUAACUCCGUGCCAGCAGCCGCGGUAAUACGGAGGGUGCAAGCGUUGAUCGGAAUUACUGGGCGUAAAGCGCACGCAGGCGGUCUGUCAAGUCGGAUGUGAAAUCCCCGGGCUCAACCUGGGAACUGCAUUCGAAACUGGCAGGCUAGAGUCUUGUAGAGGGGGGUAGAAUUCCAGGUGUAGCGGUGAAAUGCGUAGAGAUCUGGAGGAAUACCGGUGGCGAAGGCGGCCCCCUGGACAAAGACUGACGCUCAGGUGCGAAAGCGUGGGGAGCAAACAGGAUUAGAUACCCUGGUAGUCCACGCUGUAAACGAUGUCGACUUGGAGGUUGUGCCCUUGAGGCGUGGCUUCCGGAGCUAACGCGUUAAGUCGACCGCCUGGGGAGUACGGCCGCAAGGUUAAAACUCAAAUGAAUUGACGGGGGCCCGCACAAGCGGUGGAGCAUGUGGUUUAAUUCGAUGCAACGCGAAGAACCUUACCUACUCUUGACAUCCAGAGAAUUCGCUAGAGAUAGCUUAGUGCCUUCGGGAACUCUGAGACAGGUGCUGCACGGCUGUCGUCAGCUCGUGUUGUGAAAUGUU